UACGAAGGGGGCUAGCGUUGUUCGGAAUUACUGGGCGUAAAGCGGACGUAGGCGGUGUUCCAUGUCAGAGGUGAAAGCCUGGGGCUCAACUCCAGAAUUGCCUUUGAAACGGGAACGCUUGAGUCCGAGAGAGGGUGGCGGAAUUCCUAGUGUAGAGGUGAAAUUCGUAGAUAUUCGCAAGAACACCAGUGGCGAAGGCGGCUCACUGGCCCGAUACUGACGCUGAGGUGCGAAAGCGUGGGGAGCAAACAGG
RNAcentral lists this ribosomal RNA (253 nucleotides) under uncultured bacterium. Its description in RNAcentral is "partial 16S ribosomal RNA". It matches the Rfam family "Bacterial small subunit ribosomal RNA", at positions 524 to 776 of the family's 1533-position model. The record is from RNAcentral.